This 508-nucleotide ribosomal RNA is filed under the name uncultured bacterium. RNAcentral's name for it is "bacterial SSU rRNA". It matches the Rfam family "Bacterial small subunit ribosomal RNA", at positions 355 to 878 of the family's 1533-position model. The record is from RNAcentral.
UGGGGAAUCUUGGACAAUGGGGGCAACCCUGAUCCAGCCAUGCCGCGUGAGUGAUGAAGGCCUUAGGGUCGUAAAGCUCUUUCGCCUGUGAAGAUAAUGACGGUAGCAGGUAAAGAAACCCCGGCUAACUCCGUGCCAGCAGCCGCGGUAAUACGGAGGGGGUUAGCGUUGUUCGGAAUUACUGGGCGUAAAGCGCACGUAGGCGGACCAGAAAGUUGGGGGUGAAAUCCCGGGGGCUCAACCCCGGAACUGCCUCCAAAACUAUUGGUCUAGAGUUCGAGAGAGGUGAGUGGAAUUCCAAGUGUAGAGGUGAAAUUCGUAGAUAUUUGGAGGAACACCAGUGGCGAAGGCGGCUCACUGGCUCGAUACUGACGCUGAGGUGCGAAAGUGUGGGGAGCAAACAGGAUUAGAUACCCUGGUAGUCCACACCGUAAAACGAUGAAUGCCAGUCGUCGGGUAGCAUGCUAUUCGGUGACACACCUAACGGAUUAAGCAUUCCGGCCUGGGG